Molecule: small nucleolar RNA, 43 nt
Filed under: Paenibacillus illinoisensis
Lineage: Bacteria; Bacillati; Bacillota; Bacilli; Caryophanales; Paenibacillaceae
Description: small nucleolar RNA sR11
Source: RNAcentral
AGAUGAUGAUGUUGCCAACUAUUUGGAUGAUGUGGAUACCGUG